AGUGAACGCUGGCGGUAGGCCUAACACAUGCAAGUCGAACGGCAGCACAGUAAGAGCUUGCUCUUACGGGUGGCGAGUGGCGGACGGGUGAGGAAUACAUCGGAAUCUACUUUUUCGUGGGUGAUAACGUAGGGAAACUUACGCUAAUACCGCAUACGACCUACGGGUGAAAUCAGGGGAUCUUCGGACCUUGCGCGAUUGAAUGAGCCGAUGUCGGAUUAGCUAGUUGGCGGGGUAAAGGCCCACCAAGGCGACGAUCCGUAGCUGGUCUGAGAGGAUGAUCAGCCACACUGGAACUGAGACACGGUCCAGACUCCUACGGGAGGCAGCAGUGGGGAAUAUUGGACAAUGGGCGCAAGCCUGAUCCAGCCAUACCGCGUGGGUGAAGAAGGUCUUCGGGUUGUAAAGCCCUUUUGUUGGGAAAGAAAAGCAGCAGGUUAAUACCUCGCUGUUCUGACGGUACCCAAAGAAUAAGCACCGGCUAACUUCGUG
RNAcentral lists this ribosomal RNA (492 nucleotides) under uncultured bacterium. Its description in RNAcentral is "partial 16S ribosomal RNA". It matches the Rfam family "Bacterial small subunit ribosomal RNA", at positions 29 to 507 of the family's 1533-position model. The record is from RNAcentral.